UACAGAGGGUGCGAGCGUUAAUCGGAAUUACUGGGCGUAAAGCGCGCGUAGGCGGCUUUGCAAGUCGGGUGUGAAAUCCCCAGGCUUAACCUGGGAACUGCAUUCGAGACUGCAUUGCUAGAGUAUGGGAGAGGGAAGUGGAAUUUCCGGUGUAGCGGUGAAAUGCGUAGAUAUCGGAAGGAACAUCAGUGGCGAAAGCGACUUCCUGGACCAAUACUGACGCUCAUGUGCGAAAGCGUGGGGAACAAACAGG
RNAcentral lists this ribosomal RNA (253 nucleotides) under uncultured bacterium. Its description in RNAcentral is "partial 16S ribosomal RNA". It matches the Rfam family "Bacterial small subunit ribosomal RNA", at positions 524 to 776 of the family's 1533-position model. The record is from RNAcentral.